GCACAGUCUUGUUUUCGUGCAGCUCAGCCUUCCCACAGGCUGCGGUUUCAGCAGCUGACAGCACCGGGCGCCCCGCAGCCAGGUGUGACCGCACGGGGUCGGUUCGGAGCGAAGGAGAAGAGAGGGGAGCUGAGAUCAAGAAUGAGGAGAACAGAACCCUGGGGAAGGUGCUGUGGUCCAGGUGGCUCCUGGCUGCACCCAGCCCAAUGUCCCGCAGCAUCUCCACAUGGCUCUCCUACAGAGGAAGGGCCCACAGGACUGCGAUGCCCGUGAGCUGACCACCAUCCAUCUCCUGACAAAUGAUGCUGUGCAGGUGCCUGGCUGAUGUUUGCCCUUGCCAUGCCAGCAGGAUCCCAUGAGUUCCCAGCUCUAUGGUUUGGUACAAAAGACUCCUUGCC
RNAcentral lists this long non-coding RNA (398 nucleotides) under Gallus gallus (chicken). RNAcentral's name for it is "lncRNA (ENSGALG00010025798.1)". Lineage: Eukaryota; Metazoa; Chordata; Aves; Galliformes; Phasianidae. The record is from RNAcentral.